This is a non-coding RNA of Prunus avium (sweet cherry), 625 nucleotides long. Lineage: Eukaryota; Viridiplantae; Streptophyta; Magnoliopsida; Rosales; Rosaceae. The record is from RefSeq and is a predicted model, not a curated record.
AUGUAUUAGUUUAAGUUAUAAAUGAUGAGGUGCUUUAACUAAGGAGAUCAUUAACGUUAUAUUAAUAUUAAUUAAUGCAUGAUAUUACUUAAUAGAGACACAAAUUUGCUCAGUCUGCUGUGAACAUUUGUUUAGCCAAUUUUCUUGCCAUCUUUUCAAAUUUGUGAUUAGUUGGUAGUGAAUUUUAGCUUAAAUGUUAGAAAUGCAGGGUACCCAUCUUUUGUAUUUUCCAAAAGAAUGUCAUUGGUGUGGUUAGAGAUCAGAACAGCAGGAUUUUCUGUCCAUAUUAUGUAGGAGUGGUUGGUAUAGUUUUGGUGUGCUGUUGGGCUCUUGGUUCUGUUUAUCAAUUAAGGGGUAAUAUUUUUUAUCGCACCCUUUUUGAAGUCCUAUGUACUGGCCUUAGACAAAUAUUUUGCGGUGCACUUGAAAUAGAGUUACAGUAUUUGAAUACGAGAAUAAUUCAGAAUGGAAGAAGAUACACAGGAAAUAUGAUCUUUGGCCUUGACUCCAACAUGGUCUUGCUACUGUUUUGACAAUUUUUGUUGCUGUUUCUCUGCCUGUGGAGUUCUCUAUCCAUCGAUUCAUGAACCCAAAAUUUAUCUAUAUGUGGACCAUGUCGUGUACG